GGUGGCUCAGUGGUAGAGCACUUGCCUUGCAUGCACGAGGCCCUGGGUUCGAUUCCAGUACCA
RNAcentral lists this transfer RNA (63 nucleotides) under Dipodomys ordii (Ord's kangaroo rat). It matches the Rfam family "tRNA". Rfam says of the family: Transfer RNA (tRNA) molecules are approximately 80 nucleotides in length. Their secondary structure includes four short double-helical elements and three loops (D, anti-codon, and T loops). Lineage: Eukaryota; Metazoa; Chordata; Mammalia; Rodentia; Heteromyidae. The record is from Rfam by way of RNAcentral.